Transfer RNA from Ipomoea nil (Japanese morning glory), 72 nucleotides. It matches the Rfam family "tRNA". From Rfam's summary of the family: Transfer RNA (tRNA) molecules are approximately 80 nucleotides in length. Their secondary structure includes four short double-helical elements and three loops (D, anti-codon, and T loops). Further hydrogen bonds mediate the characteristic L-shaped molecular structure. tRNAs have two regions of fundamental functional importance: the anti-codon, which is responsible for specific mRNA codon recognition, and the 3' end, to which the tRNAs corresponding amino acid is attached (by aminoacyl-tRNA synthetases). tRNAs cope with the degeneracy of the genetic code in two manners: having more than one tRNA (with a specific anti-codon) for a particular amino acid; and 'wobble' base-pairing, i.e. permitting non-standard base-pairing at the 3rd anti-codon position. The record is from Rfam. NCBI's taxonomy places the organism in Eukaryota, Viridiplantae, Streptophyta, Magnoliopsida, Solanales, Convolvulaceae.
UCCGUUGUCGUCCUGCGGUUAGGAUAUCUGGCUUUCACUCAGGAGACCAGGGUUCAAUUCUCGACAACGGAA